UCCAGCGCCCCCUCCCCCCGGGCCCAGGAGGAACCCGGUUGCGCCGCUGCGGCUGCUUGCCUGCUGCCCUGUCCGCCGUGUCCGGCGAGGGCGCGAGGCGGCGACCCAGGCUAGGGCGCGAGGCUGCAGCCUGCAAGCUGCCCGGCGUCCGGCGAGGUAGUCAGUGGCUCACAGCUCACUGCUCGGUCCUCACUUAGUCACUUUCUCAGGAACACAAGAUGAGUAAAAGAAAUAAGACAUUGAUUUUUUUUUUCAAGUUCGAACCACCGAAACCAACUAGACUCAUUCAUCCGGGAAGCAAGAGGUGAUCCACAUUUGAUGAAUUGCAAUGAUCUUGGUCAUCUUGCCAUGAAUAUGGUUAAAAGUGAUAUGCACACAACUUUUUUCCUUGGUUUACCGUCUUGUUGAGUUAGCAUUGAUUUUACCUGUUGCGGUUUGCAACAGUGGAAAGAGCAUUCUCAGGACUGGAUUAAGGAACAAAAUGGGUGAUGAUUGGAUGAAUCAUAGAAUGGUGUGUUACAUUGAGCGAGAUGUAUUUGUUAGUAUUGAAGAAUCAAAGAUCAUCGAGCGAUUUCAAGGUUAUCGCACACGUAAAGGCGUUUUGCCUCGUCCUAGACGUUUAGCUUCUUCUGCUAUCGAAGAUGUAGUCAUGGAAGGCUCAGAUCAACCAAUCCUUUGAUUUGGUAUCAAUCUUUUGUAUCAUCGAUCUAUGCUACAUAUGGUCUUUGAUUUGUCUUGCUUUAUUAGUUGACCCAUCAAGGAACAAAUGUUGUCAUUGCA
Triticum dicoccoides is the source of this 780-nucleotide long non-coding RNA. RefSeq lists it as uncharacterized. The transcript is spliced from 3 exons. The record is from RefSeq and is a predicted model, not a curated record. NCBI's taxonomy places the organism in Eukaryota, Viridiplantae, Streptophyta, Magnoliopsida, Poales, Poaceae.